UGCAGUCGAGCGAAUCUUAAGGUGCUUGCACCUUUUGGUUAGCGGCGGACGGGUGAGUAACACGUGGGCAACCUGCCUGUAAGACUGGGAUAACUUCGGGAAACCGGAGCUAAUACCGGAUAAUCCUUUUCCUCUCAUGAGGAAAAGCUGAAAGUCGGUUUCGGCUGACACUUACAGAUGGGCCCGCGGCGCAUUAGCUAGUUGGUGAGGUAACGGCUCACCAAGGCGACGAUGCGUAGCCGACCUGAGAGGGUGAUCGGCCACACUGGGACUGAGACACGGCCCAGACUCCUACGGGAGGCAGCAGUAGGGAAUCUUCCGCAAUGGACGAAAGUCUGACGGAGCAACGCCGCGUGAGCGAUGAAGGCCUUCGGGUCGUAAAGCUCUGUUGUUAGGGAAGAACAAGUACCGGAGUAACUGCCGGUACCUUGACGGUACCUAACCAGAAAGCCACGGCUAACUACGUGCCAGCAGCCGCGGUAAUACGUAGGUGGCAAGCGUUGUCCGGAAUUAUUGGGCGUAAAGCGCGCGCAGGCGGUCCUUUAAGUCUGAUGUGAAAGCCCACGGCUCAACCGUGGAGGGUCAUUGGAAACUGGGGGACUUGAGUACAGAAGAGGAAAGCGGAAUUCCACGUGUAGCGGUGAAAUGCGUAGAGAUGUGGAGGAACACCAGUGGCGAAGGCGGCUUUCUGGUCUGUAACUGACGCUGAGGCGCGAAAGCGUGGGGAGCAAACAGGAUUAGAUACCCUGGUAGUCCACGCCGUAAACGAUGAGUGCUAAGUGUUAGAGGGUUUCCGCCCUUUAGUGCUGCAGCUAACGCAUUAAGCACUCCGCCUGGGGAGUACGGCCGCAAGGCUGAAACUCAAAGGAAUUGACGGGGGCCCGCACAAGCGGUGGGAGCAUGUGGUUUAAUUCGAAGCAACGCG
RNAcentral lists this ribosomal RNA (925 nucleotides) under Bacillus sp. (in: firmicutes). Its description in RNAcentral is "bacterial SSU rRNA". It matches the Rfam family "Bacterial small subunit ribosomal RNA", at positions 56 to 963 of the family's 1533-position model. The record is from RNAcentral. Lineage: Bacteria; Bacillati; Bacillota; Bacilli; Caryophanales; Bacillaceae.